Molecule: non-coding RNA, 113 nt
Organism: Acanthosepion pharaonis
Lineage: Eukaryota; Metazoa; Mollusca; Cephalopoda; Sepiida; Sepiidae
Source: the annotation of a GenBank genome assembly
UUACGGUCAUAUCACGUUGAAACACCAGUUCCCGUACAAUCACCGAUGUUAAGCAACGUAGAAUCUGGUCAGUAUCUAGAUAGAUGACUGUUUGGGAAUACUAGGCACUGUAA